UAUAAGAAGAGGAAGAGAUACCAGAGGGAUAUCUCUUUGCCUCCCCCUUAUGAGUACACUGAGGAAAGGCCACACGAGGACACAGUGAGAAGGUGGCCAUCUUCACGCCAGGACAGAAAAAAAAAAAACAAAAAAAACCUCACCAGACAUUAAUCCUGCUAGCACCUUGAUUUUGGACUUCUACCUUCCAGAACUCUGACUUCAACAUUCCAAGCAUUAAUUAAUUUAAAAAAGGCAUCAGAAGCCAUGCCAGAGACUCUUUGUCACAGUCUGAUUAUGAAUCUGGCAUUACAAACACAGCAAGAAGAUGGCAAUCAGCAAAUCAGGAAGAAGGCCCUCCCGAGAACCCAACAAUGCUGGCAGCCUGAUCUUGGAUUUUCCAGCCUCCAGAACUGAAUUGAACACAGCGGCCGGCUGGCAUUGUUGUAAUACUCAAGGAAAACUUACUUCUACUGGCUGAUAUUGGAGCUACUCAGAUUUGACCACAGCUCUGACAUGCAAGAAGAAAAAUUUGAACACAAAGAGACACCAAAGAUGCUAGUGCAGAUAAGAAACCAUGUGAGGACAGUGAGAAGACAGCUCCUUACAACUGAUGAGGGAGGCCUCAGAAGAAACCAACCCUGGUGACAUACUGAUCUCAAACACCUAGCUCUAGAAUUGUGAGGAAAUACAUUUUUGUUGUUGAAGUCACACAAUCUGUGGUAUCUUGUUACAUCAGCUCUGGAAAACGAAUACAGGUGAGGAAAUGAGAACAAACAUGAGAAGACAGUGAGUGAGAAGGCUAGUCAGCAAGAGAAGGCCAUUCGUACACCCUCUGCCCUGCUAAAUUCUCCUCAGAGAUCAUCAACCUGUCCUAGGUUCCAUUCAGACCCUAAAGUGUGAGUUUCUUGCUAUAAUCAAUUUUUUAACAUAUAAGAACUAUAUUUAAAAAAAAAAAUCCCAAGCCAUUGGAAUCCCCCUGCCCUCUCCUACUCCGACUCCUAAGAAAAAAAGCCCCAGUCAUAAUGACGAAUAGGGUUGGAGUAGGGAACUGGUGAUAUGAGGGGAGGGCACUCAAGGAAACCGAAAGAAACGAAAUCGAUAUAUCAAUAUACAUUUUAACAAACAAAAGAUGUGGAGAUGCCAGGAUGUCAUCUUUCCAGAGAGGAGAGCUUCAGGCUUCAGAAGAAUGCAAUGAGGAGAGUAAAUGAUGAGCCACUGCCUGGGGCUCUGAGACUUGGGCACCACUGACGUGUAAAGCAGAUCUUUCAGAACUUUCAUUGAAUGUUGUUCACGGUAUACAUGUAACCACUGAAUUUUAAAGAAAACUUCAAUAAAUUUCUACAAUACUUCUUGAAUAA
Molecule: long non-coding RNA, 1340 nt
Organism: Symphalangus syndactylus (siamang)
Lineage: Eukaryota; Metazoa; Chordata; Mammalia; Primates; Hylobatidae
Source: RefSeq, a predicted model, not a curated record